GCAUAUCAAUAAGCGGAGGAAAAGAAAAUAACAAUGAUUCCCUCAGUAACGGCGAGUGAAGUGGGAUGAGCUCAAAUUUUAAAUCUAUUGGGUACCUACCUAAUAGAGUUGUAUUUUGAAGAAACUGUUCUCUGCGUCCUGGAUUAACCCAAAUCCUUUGGAAUAAGGUAUCAUGGAGGGUGAGAAUCCCGUUCAUGGUUAAUCUUAAGGAUGCUUUACGAUACGUUUUCCAAGAGUCGAGUUGUUUGGGAUUGCAGCUCAAAAUGGGAGGUAAAUUUCUCCUAAAGCUAAAUAUUGGCGAGAGACCGAUAGCAAACAAGUACCGUGAGGGAAAGAUGAAAAGAACUUUGAAAAGAGAGUUAAAUAGUACGUGAAAUUGUUGGAAAGGAAACGAUUUAAAGUCAGUCAUACCAACGGGAAAUCAACCUUUUGAGUUCGGUCUUGUGGGCUUGAAGAGUUUCAAAGCCUUCGGAUUUGUGAGAUUGGGAUCUCUUGGUGCACUUUUUCGUACGGUUAGUCAACAUCGGUUUUAAUCAUUAUAAAAUGGUUGAAGGAAUGUAACUUUGAUUUCGAUCGAGGUAUUAUAGCCUUUGACAGAUGUAAUGAUCAAGACCGAGGAUUGCAACGGAUACCCUUCAGGGCUAUUCGUCUGAUCUUUGGCACUUGUCUAUAGUAUCGGAAGCUUGCUAACGAUAUUAGGGUUCACGGGUCAAAGGUUGGAACGGAUUAAAUUCGUUAAGGAUGUUGACGUAAUGGCUUUAAACGAC
This 767-nucleotide ribosomal RNA is filed under the name Funneliformis mosseae. RNAcentral describes it as "eukaryotic LSU rRNA". It matches the Rfam family "Eukaryotic large subunit ribosomal RNA", at positions 38 to 648 of the family's 3401-position model. The record is from RNAcentral. Lineage: Eukaryota; Fungi; Glomeromycota; Glomeromycetes; Glomerales; Glomeraceae.